RNAcentral lists this ribosomal RNA (497 nucleotides) under uncultured bacterium. RNAcentral's name for it is "partial 16S ribosomal RNA". It matches the Rfam family "Bacterial small subunit ribosomal RNA", at positions 28 to 507 of the family's 1533-position model. The record is from RNAcentral.
GAUGAACGCUGGCGGCGUGCCUAAUACAUGCAAGUCGAGCGAACGGACGAGAAGCUUGCUUCUCUGAUGUUAGCGGCGGACGGGUGAGUAACACGUGUAUAACCUACCUAUAAGACUGGGAUAACUUCGGGAAACCGGAGCUAAUACCGGAUAAUAUUUUGAACCGCAUGGUUCAAAGGUGAAAGACGGUCUUGCGGUCACUUAUAGAUGGAUCCGCGCUGCAUUAGCUAGUUGGUAAGGUAACGGCUUACCAAGGCAACGAUGCAUAGCCGACCUGAGAGGGGGAUCGCCCGCCCGGGAACUGAGACACGGUCCAGACUCCUACGGGAGGCAGCAGUAGGGAAUCGUCCGCAAUAGGCGAAAGCCUGACGGAGCAACGCCACGUGAGUGAUGAAGGUCUUCGGAUCGUAAAACUCUGUUAUUAGGGAAGAACAUAUGUGUAAGUAACUGUGCACAUCUUGACGGUACCUAAUCAGAAAGCCACGGCUAACUACGUG